GGAGGGUUAGAUUCCCUCCCGCUGUAAGACCAAGGUUUCCCGGGCAAUGCCAAUCAGCCCGGGGUCAGUCGGGUCCUAAGUCUAAGCCGAACGGCGAUGGCGAUGGCAGAGACGGUUAAUAUUCCGUCACUGCCGCAUGGGGCGACGUGGAGACGGAGCAGUGAAACCACCGCGGGGCGACGGAAGUCCCCGUUGAAGAGUGUAGGCGUUGAGGAUGGCAGGCAAAUCCACCGUCCGAGCUGAACUUGAGAGUAUGGAGUCUUCUUCGGAAGAAUCCAAUAGUGUGGGUAAUCAUACUCCCGAGAAAAUCCGCUAAGCUUAACCCAUGCGGCACCCGUACCGCAAACGGACACACGUGGUCGGGUAGAACAUACUGAGGCGUUGAGAGAUUCAUGGUUAAGGAACUAGGCAAAUUGACCCUGUAACUUCGGGAUAAAGGGUCCUCGUGAAUAGCGAGGCGCAGAGAAUAGGUCCAGGCAACUGUUUAACAAAAACACAGGGCUGUGCAAACUCGAAAGAUGACGUAUACAGCCUGACACCUGCCCGGUGCCGGAAGGUUAAGAGGAGAUGUCACUCGCAAGAGGAAGCAUUGAAUUGAAGCCCCGGUAAACGGCGGCCGUAACCAUAACGGUCCUAAGGUAGCGAAAUUCCUUGUCGGGUAAGUUCCGACCUGCACGAAUGGUGUAAUGAUCCGGACGCUGUCUCAACCAUGAGCUCAGUGAAAUUGUAGUAUCGGUGAAGAUGCCGAUUACCCGCGAUGGGACGAAAAGACCCCGUGAACCUUUACUACAGCUUAGCAUUGACCUUGGUCAUCCGAUGUGUAGGAUAGGCCGGAGGCUUCGAAGCGGGAGCGCCAGCUUUCGUGGAGCCAUCCUUGAAAUACGGCCCUUUGGCUGUCUGAGGUCUAACGCGCGAUGCGCGGACACUGCUUGGUGGGUAGUUUGACUGGGGUGGUCGCCUCCAAAAGCGUAACGGAGGCUUCCAAAGGUGCCCUCGGGUCGAUUGGUAACCGACCUCAAAGAGUGCAAUGGCAUAAGGGCGCUUGACUGGGAGGCAGACAUGCCGAGCAGGCAGGAAACUGGGGCAUAGUGAUCCGGCGGAUGAUGUAUGGAAACUCCGUCGCUCAAAGGAUAAAAGGUACUCCGGGAUAACAGGCUGAUCCCCCCCAAGAGCUCAUAUCGACGGGGUGGUUUGGCACCUCGAUGUCGGCUCGUCUCAUCCUGGGGCUGGAGAAGGUCCCAAGGGUUGGGCUGUUCGCCCAUUAAAGUGGCACGCGAGCUGGGUUCAGAACGUCGUGAGACAGUUCGGUCUCUAUCUAUCGUGGGCGUGGGAGUUUUGCGUGGUGCCGUCACUAGUACGAGAGGACCGUGAUGGACAGACCUCCGGUUUACCAGUUGUGCCGCCAGGCGCACCGCUGGGUAUCUGAGUCUGGAUUGGAUAAGCGCUGAAAGCAUCUAAGUGCGAAGCCAGCCGCAAGAUGAGAACUCCAUUGAGGGUCGUCAGAGACGAUGACGUUGAUAGGAUGCAGGUGUAAAGACAGCGAUGUCAAAGCCGAGCAUUACUAAUUGCUC
This 1571-nucleotide ribosomal RNA is filed under the name metagenome. RNAcentral describes it as "bacterial LSU rRNA". It matches the Rfam family "Bacterial large subunit ribosomal RNA", at positions 1316 to 2910 of the family's 2925-position model. The record is from RNAcentral.